CAAAAGACCAAAAUGACACAAACAUUAACAACUAUAGGUCACCGUACGGCCUUCAACAAUGAGCAAAGCCCAUUCCGCAUAGUCAGCUAUAAAAGGCCCCGAUAAGACAAUGUAAAACAAAUUCAAACGAGAAAACUAACGGCCUUAUUUAUGAAAAAAAUUUAACGAAAAACAAAAGUGUAACACAUAAACAAACGACAACCACUGAAUUACAGGCUCCUGACUUGGGACAGGCACAUACAUAAAUAAUGUGGCGGGGUUAAACAUGUUAGCAGGAUCCAAACCCUCCCC
This 291-nucleotide long non-coding RNA is filed under the name Mytilus galloprovincialis (Mediterranean mussel). Lineage: Eukaryota; Metazoa; Mollusca; Bivalvia; Mytilida; Mytilidae. The record is from RNAcentral.